AGCUCCAAUAGCGUAUACUAAUGUUGUUGCAGUUAAAAAGCUCGUAGUCGGAUUUCAGUUUGCUGAUGCUUAAUCCUUUCGGUUUUUGCAUUGGCUUACUUCAUGACAGAAACUUCCAUGCCAUUUAUUUGGUGUGUUUCGGGACUGUCUCAUUUACUUUGAGAAAAUUAGAGUGUUCAAAGCAGGUAUAUAGCCUGAAUAUUACUCUUGGAAUAAUAAUAUAGGACUUCAGUCCUAGUUUGUUGGUGAUCUGGGACCGGAGUAAUGAUUGAUAGGGACAGUUGGGGUCAUUCAUACUGCAAAGCGAGAGGUGAAAUUCUUGGACCUUUGUAUGAUGAACAACUGCGAAAGCAUUUGACUAGGAUGUUCCCG
Molecule: ribosomal RNA, 372 nt
Filed under: uncultured eukaryote
Lineage: Eukaryota
Description: SSU rRNA
Rfam family: Eukaryotic small subunit ribosomal RNA
Source: RNAcentral